GGUUCCGUGUAGAGGCAGAGAGAGUAGGGUUUUGUGAGGUAGAGAGCGCUAGGGUUCGUAUGGAGGCAGAGAGCGUUAGGGUUCAUGUGAGGCAGACAUCGCAAGGGUUCGUGUGAGGCAGAGAGCACUAGGUUCGUGUGGAAGCAGCGAACGCUAAGGUUCGUGUGAGGCAGAGAGCGCUAGGUUCGUGUGGAAGCAGCGAGCACUAGGGUUCAUGUGACGCAGACAUCGCUAGGGUUUGUGUGAGGCAGCGAGCGUUAGGGUUCGUGUGAGGCAGCGAGCGCUAGGGUUCAUGUGAG
Molecule: long non-coding RNA, 299 nt
Filed under: Phaseolus vulgaris (common bean)
Lineage: Eukaryota; Viridiplantae; Streptophyta; Magnoliopsida; Fabales; Fabaceae
Description: long non-coding RNA (PVUL_LNC005198)
Source: RNAcentral